UAUGCCGGAGACUCUAGCUAGGCCAUGGUUCACAUGAACGUAGGAGGAGUAUCUUUUACUAUAAUGAAAGGGCAGGUGGUGAGGAGUUCUGCAUAAGGUCCUUUCCAGCAAGGGGAGGGUACUCAUCACAUGAGAAGUAUUAUCUCCUGGGGGGCAGACAGAGAGCCCGUCCCUCAGCACACCAGAGCAUCAUCUCCUGUGGGAGGUCAGAGAAUCUGUCUGUCAGCCCAUGAGAAGCAUCAACUCCAGGGGGAGGUCAGAGAGUCUGUUCCUUGUCUGCUUUUGCUCAGUCCUUUAAAAGAGACUUUAGUUCCUCUAAAGUAGCAAGCAUUGUUUUAAGACAUUGCUUGCGUGGCGCAGUGCAUGUUGGAACUGUGUACAAUGAGGCCAAAGAACAACAGACUUGGCUUGGAAUUUCUCUCUUGGAUCACAGUUAUAGAUUAUACAACUUGUCACAAAGCAUCCCUGAAAAAUGAAGCAAGACGAAUAAUAGUUCAAUGAAGAGCAGCCAUCCCACUUUCAUCUCCCACAGUGACCUCAUAUCAGUAUCUUUCUCAUCUUUUGCACUAGAUAUUUGAGAGAUCAAAGUGAAUAAGAAGUAAUAAGUGCUUGGAUACUAAUUAAUUCUCUGCAAUGCGAGUGUUGUGUUUUAAACACUCCUUCUUUGGGAGCCUUCUUGAGUCCAGUGGACUACCCCAGACUCUAUUAGUCUUCCUUUUGAUUCGAUGUUGCUUGACUGUGGAUUUUAGGGCACCCC
Molecule: long non-coding RNA, 757 nt
Filed under: Rattus norvegicus (Norway rat)
Lineage: Eukaryota; Metazoa; Chordata; Mammalia; Rodentia; Muridae
Description: long non-coding RNA NONRATT020287
Source: RNAcentral